GGCCGCAUGGCGUAAUGGCAGCGUGUUUGACUACGAUGAGAGAUCACCGAUUUUCGACAUCAAGAGGUUGCGGGUUCGAGUCCCGUUGUGGUCA
This is a non-coding RNA of Microstroma glucosiphilum, 94 nucleotides long. NCBI's taxonomy places the organism in Eukaryota, Fungi, Basidiomycota, Exobasidiomycetes, Microstromatales, Microstromataceae. The record is from the annotation of a RefSeq genome assembly.